CCUACGGGAGGCAGCAGUAAGGAAUAUUGGUCAAUGGACGCAAGUCUGAACCAGCCAUGCCGCGUGCAGGAUGACGGCCCUCUGGGUUGUAAACUGCUUUUAUACGGGAAGAAACCUCUGGUUGCGAUCAGAGCUGACGGUACCGUAAGAAUAAGGACCGGCUAACUUCGUGCCAGCAGCCGCGGUAAUACGAAGGGUCCAAGCGUUAUCCGGAUUUAUUGGGUUUAAAGGGUGCGUAGGCGGCUUAUUAAGUCAGUGGUGAAAGACUUCAGCUUAACUGAAGAACUGCCAUUGAUACUGAUGAGCUUGAAUAUACUUGAGGUGGGCGGAAUGUGUCAUGUAGCGGUGAAAUGCUUAGAUAUGACACAGAACACCGAUUGCGAAGGCAGCUCGCUAAAGUAUGAUUGACGCUGAUGCACGAAAGCUGGGGAGCAAACAGGAUUAGAUACCCUGGUAGUCCACGCCCUAAACGUUGAUAACUCGAUGUGUGGNGAUAUACAGUACGCGUCCACGACGAAGACAGUUAAGUUAGUCCACCGUAGGAAGUACGGUACGCGAGAGUAGAACGUACGAAGAAGUAGACGGACGUAGAGGACGUUGGACCGACGGACGACGACGAGGGGAGGUAGG
Molecule: ribosomal RNA, 630 nt
Filed under: uncultured bacterium
Lineage: Bacteria
Description: bacterial SSU rRNA
Rfam family: Bacterial small subunit ribosomal RNA (bases 1-538)
Source: RNAcentral